Molecule: ribosomal RNA, 493 nt
Filed under: uncultured bacterium
Lineage: Bacteria
Description: bacterial SSU rRNA
Rfam family: Bacterial small subunit ribosomal RNA
Source: RNAcentral
UGGCGGCGUGCCUAAUACAUGCAAGUCGAGCGGAUCAUCUUGAGGAGCUUGCUCCGAUAGAUGGUUAGCGGCGGACGGGUGAGUAACACGUAGGCAACCUGCCCAUAAGACCGGGAUAACAUUCGGAAACGAAUGCUAAGACCGGAUAUGCAGUUUCCCCGCAUGGGGAAGCUGGGAAACACGGCGCAAGCUGUGGCUUGUGGAUGGGCCUGCGGCGCAUUAGCUAGUUGGUGAGGUAACGGCCCACCAAGGCGACGAUGCGUAGCCGACCUGAGAGGGUGAACGGCCACACUGGGACUGAGACACGGCCCAGACUCCUACGGGAGGCAGCAGUAGGGAAUCUUCCACAAUGGGCGAAAGCCUGAUGGAGCAACGCCGCGUGAGUGAGGAAGGCUUUCGGGUCGUAAAGCUCUGUUGCCAGGGAAGAACGCCUAAGAGAGUAACUGCUCUUAGGGUGACGGUACCUGAGAAGAAAGCCCCGGCUAACUACGUG